This 119-nucleotide non-coding RNA is filed under the name uncultured eukaryote. The record is from RNAcentral.
AGGUGAAAAAAUGAAAUGUACCACAAAAUCGAAAAAGUGGAUUUUUUCACCGAAAAAUUUUCGGUGGAAUUUUUCGCCGAUUUUUUUCUCGGUUUUCGCCGUUUUUUUCCGUUUUUUUG